Molecule: ribosomal RNA, 497 nt
Filed under: uncultured bacterium
Lineage: Bacteria
Description: partial 16S ribosomal RNA
Rfam family: Bacterial small subunit ribosomal RNA
Source: RNAcentral
GAUGAACGCUGGCGGCGUGCCUAAUACAUGCAAGUCGAGCGAACAGACGAGGAGCUUUCUCCUCUUACGUUAGCGGCGGACGGGUGAGUAACACGUGGAUAACCUACCUAUAAGACUGGGAUAACUUCGGGAAACCGGAGCUAAUACCGGAUAAUAUAUUGAACCGCAUGGUUCAAUAGUGAAAGACGGUUUUGCUGUCACUUAUAGAUGGAUCCGCGCCGCAUUAGCUAGUUGGUAAGGUAACGGCUUACCAAGGCGACGAUGCGUAGCCGACCUGAGAGGGUGAUCGACCACACUGGAACUGAGACACGGUCCAGACUCCUACGGGAGGCAGCAGUAGGGAAUCUUCCGCAAUGGGCGAAAGCCUGACGGAGCAACGCCGCGUGAGUGAUGAAGGUCUUCGGAUCGUAAAACUCUGUUAUUAGGGAAGAACAAAUGUGUAAGUAACUAUGCACGUCUUGACGGUACCUAAUCAGAAAGCCACGGCUAACUACGUG